GCCGGCGUGGCGCAAUUGGUUAGCGCGUCAGACUUUUAUGUAACAUAGAGGUAUCUGAAUGUUGCGAGUUCGAGUCUCGCCGUUGGCG
Non-coding RNA from Bombardia bombarda, 88 nucleotides. NCBI's taxonomy places the organism in Eukaryota, Fungi, Ascomycota, Sordariomycetes, Sordariales, Lasiosphaeriaceae. The record is from the annotation of a GenBank genome assembly.